Molecule: ribosomal RNA, 1093 nt
Filed under: Cupriavidus sp.
Lineage: Bacteria; Pseudomonadati; Pseudomonadota; Betaproteobacteria; Burkholderiales; Burkholderiaceae
Description: bacterial SSU rRNA
Rfam family: Bacterial small subunit ribosomal RNA
Source: RNAcentral
GGGGCACAGAUCCAGCAUGCCGCGUGUGUGAAGAAGGCCUUCGGGUUGUAAAGCACUUUUGUCCGGAAAGAAAUCGCUCUGGCUAAUACCUGGGGUGGAUGACGGUACCGGAAGAAUAAGCACCGGCUAACUACGUGCCAGCAGCCGCGGUAAUACGUAGGGUGCGAGCGUUAAUCGGAAUUACUGGGCGUAAAGCGUGCGCAGGCGGUUUUGUAAGACAGGCGUGAAAUCCCCGGGCUCAACCUGGGAAUUGCGCUUGUGACUGCAAGGCUAGAGUGCGUCAGAGGGGGGUAGAAUUCCACGUGUAGCAGUGAAAUGCGUAGAGAUGUGGAGGAAUACCGAUGGCGAAGGCAGCCCCCUGGGACGUGACUGACGCUCAUGCACGAAAGCGUGGGGAGCAAACAGGAUUAGAUACCCUGGUAGUCCACGCCCUAAACGAUGUCAACUAGUUGUUGGGGAUUCAUUUCUUCAGUAACGUAGCUAACGCGUGAAGUUGACCGCCUGGGGAGUACGGUCGCAAGAUUAAAACUCAAAGGAAUUGACGGGGACCCGCACAAGCGGUGGAUGAUGUGGAUUAAUUCGAUGCAACGCGAAAAACCUUACCUACCCUUGACAUGCCACUAACGAAGCAGAGAUGCAUCAGGUGCCCGAAAGGGAAAGUGGACACAGGUGCUGCAUGGCUGUCGUCAGCUCGUGUCGUGAGAUGUUGGGUUAAGUCCCGCAACGAGCGCAACCCUUGUCUUUAGUUGCUACGCAAGAGCACUCUAGAGAGACUGCCGGUGACAAACCGGAGGAAGGUGGGGAUGACGUCAAGUCCUCAUGGCCCUUAUGGGUAGGGCUUCACACGUCAUACAAUGGUGCGUACAGAGGGUUGCCAACCCGCGAGGGGGAGCUAAUCCCAGAAAACGCAUCGUAGUCCGGGAUCGUAGUCUGCAACUCGACUACGUGAAGCUGGGAAUCGCUAGUAAUCGCGGAUCAGCAUGCCCGCGGUGAAUACGUUCCCGGGUCUGUACACACGCCCGUCACACCAUGGGGAGGUGGGGUUUUGCCAGAAAGUAGUUAGGCCUAACCCGCAAGGAAGGGGGCGGAUUAC